AAGGGAGUUUGCCUGUGGAGAAGAAUGCUGUGUUGUUUAAAAGUGAUGGAGAAUCAUUGAUUAGACGCCACAGGGAUUUUUAUGGGGAUUGUGAUGUAUAUGAUGGUGAAUGGGUUAGAGAUGACACGAAGCCGUAUUAUCCUCCGGGUUCUUGCCCUAUGAUUGAUAGGGAUUUUGAUUGUCACCUUAAUAAGAGGCCAGAUGAUGAGUAUAUCAAGUGGAGAUGGCAACCAUAUGCAUGUGACAUACCGAGCCUCAAUGCAACUGAUUUUCUGGAGAGAUUGAGAGGGCAAAAGCUUGUUUUUGUGGGGGACUCAUUGAAUAGGAACAUGUGGGAGUCCCUUGUUUGCAUUCUUCGCCACAGUAUCCGAGACAAAAGGCGAGUUUAUGAGAUAUCAGGAAGGCAUGAAUUCAAAAAGAAGGGCUUCUAUGCAUUCAGAUUUGAGGAUUAUAACUGUUCUGUGGAUUUUGUUAGCUCUCCAUUUCUUGUCAGACAAUCAACUUUUAAAGGGAAAAAUGGUUCUUUCGAGACGCUAAGAUUGGAUUUGAUGGACAAGACGACUUCAAUGUAUAGUGAUGCUGAUAUUGUAAUUUUCAACACUGGUCAUUGGUGGACUCAUGAGAAAACCUCCAGAGGGGAAGACUACUACCAGGAAGGUAAUCAUGUGCAUGGAAGGCUCAAGGUUUUAGAGGCGUAUAAGAGAGCGAUUUCCACUUGGGCAAGGUGGGUGGAUCAGAACUUUGACGGAAGCAGAAGUCAAGUUAUUUU
This 769-nucleotide unclassified non-coding RNA is filed under the name Hevea brasiliensis (rubber tree). Lineage: Eukaryota; Viridiplantae; Streptophyta; Magnoliopsida; Malpighiales; Euphorbiaceae. The record is from RNAcentral.